ACGAGAAAGGGGCUUCGGCUCUGAGUAAAGUGGCGCACGGGUGAGUAACACGUGAAUGAUCUACCCCCGAGUGGGGAAUAACUGAGAGAAAUCCUAGCUAAUACCGCAUAACACUUACGAGUCAAAGCAGCAAUGCGCUUGGAGAGGAGUUCGCGGCCGAUUAGUUAGUUGGCGGGGUAAUGGCCCACCAAGACGAUGAUCGGUAUCCGGCCUGAGAGGGCGCACGGACACACUGGAACUGAAACACGGUCCAGACUCCUACGGGAGGCAGCAGUGGGGAAUUUUGCGCAAUGGGGGAAACCCUGACGCAGCAACGCCGCGUGGAGGAUGAAAUCCCUUGGGAUGUAAACUCCUUUCGAUAGGGAAGAUUAUGACGGUACCUAUAGAAGAAGCCCCGGCUAACUUCGUGCCAGCAGCCGCGGUAAUACGAGGGGGGCAAGCGUUGUUCGGAAUUAUUGGGCGUAAAGGGCGCGUAGGCGGUUUGACAAGUCUGAUGUGAAAUCUCUGGGCUCAACCCAGAGUCUGCAUUAGAAACUGUCGGGCUUGAGUAUGGGAGAGGUGAGUGGAA
This 568-nucleotide ribosomal RNA is filed under the name uncultured bacterium. RNAcentral's name for it is "bacterial SSU rRNA". It matches the Rfam family "Bacterial small subunit ribosomal RNA", at positions 66 to 666 of the family's 1533-position model. The record is from RNAcentral.